GUCACUUGUCUGAGAUGGUAUAGUUCUCCUCUUGAACAGAAGACUUCCAAGGUUCCUUCCAGCUCUAUUCUAUUCCCAAAUUCUGUCAUUUUUCUUAAUGUCCCUAUCUCAUUUUUGAGAUCAGUUUUUAUUCUUCCAGCAAUUUGAAAAUAAAUCACCCAUGAUAUAUUCCAGCCUUUGCUGAUCCUUAUUGUAUGUGUAAUCUAUUCAUAAGGUCUGGGCGGACCAUGUUUGCAUAUGUAAUUACAUUUUCCUUACCAUAAUUGUCUCCAACAUGAAAAGCAUUUAGGAGAGAGCCUAAUGGGGAAAUGGUUGGGUUUAUUAUUUUCCACAUGGUGUUCCAUACUUUUAUUAAGCUUUGUCUUAUAAUGUGUCCUUUUAGGUUUUUAUUCUCUUUUAGGUCCCUGUGACAUAAGUAUGUAUGAAGCCCAUUAGCUAGAUCAAUUCCUUCCAAUACUGUACUGAUAUUUUGCUGUUUGGAGAUUUUAUCUACUCUGUGGAACACGACAAAGAGCUUGUCUGUAACACAGUUUGAAAACUGGAAGGACAAAGCAACCUCUUUCUUUGGAGUGGUGUUAAAUUUUAAAUUUGUCUCUAGGUUUUUCCCCACUCUCUAUAUAUUCGCUAAUAGUUUCUUGUUGUUCAUGUAAGGUCUUUUUCUGAAAUUAGGGUCAUUUGAAAUAGAUACUUCAUCUUGGGUAAUGCAAUCAUUUUGAUAAUUACAAUUGAUCCCUGACAGCCAAUUUUUUUCUGCAAGAAAUCUUUUCUUUAUGUUAAAUGUUUAGUUAUUUUUGUUUGUGUAUUAAUUUUGUAUUCAGAGAACUUUCUGAAGCUAUUAUUUUCCUUGUUAGCCACCCUCAGGGAUUUAAAGACUUGGAUAUUCCUGUAGGCAUUUGGGCUGGAAAGCUUGUUUAGUUACGAUAUUAUUAACUAGAAGUGUAAUUUUUGACACUGCUUCUUAUUGUUUCUGAUAAACUGUAUUAUUCACUUUAAUGGUUUUUAACCCUCUAUGUGAUACAGUCAGUUUAGUAAGAAGGAUGGCUAUAUACUUUUUUCUUAAUCAACCUAGGAAGCAGCAUUUUUCAUUAUAUCUAGCACAGGGAUAAUUUGAACUGUUUACUGAAAAGCCUAAAUUAAAAAGAUAAAAACAAUGCACAUGACUUUAUUAAAUGUAAAAUAAAUACAGUGCCAAGUUUAAAUCUAUUUGCAAAAUUGGGAAUUAACAGUACUGCAUACACAAACAUUCCCCACAAACCAAAGACAGCACUUUUCAUAUAUGUAACCCUCCAAUACACAUAAACAGAAACACAGCUUUGCAGCAACAGCUAAAGCUGGAUGCUGACAUUACCAUCAAAGAUGGUAGCCCCUGACAGGCCACAGCCAGAAUGUCUCCAUCCCAAGCCCAGGUUUAAUUGUGCCUGUUCCCUUUAAUUUCUGUAUGUAGGAGAAAAACAGGUGUAGUAAGAACAUGCAGAACUAUCAUCAUCAUGUCACAACCCUUAGAAGAUCCUGAUAUAAUGAGCCACAUCUUUUUCCAACUUGUCUUUAAACAUCUUUCUCCAACUUGUCUUUAAACAUCUUUUUAUGCCUCCAAGGACUUUUGAAGUGCUCGGACCCAAGCCUAUUAUUUAGAUCAGUGUUUCUCAGCCUCAGCAACUCUAUGAUGUGUGGACUUCAAUUCUGAGAAUUCCCCAGCUAGAUUUACAUGUAAUCUUGAGAUGGCCAAUUACUUAGGUAUAGCUCAGCAAUUUUCUUCUCAUCUUGGCAUAGAGAAGCCACCUCAAGAUUACUAAGGCUGUUUAUUAGCUUUACUUUAUUAUUGUCAUUAAUAGAUGCUUUUUACCAAUACAGGAGAAUGCAUAUUAUAUCAUCAAGACAAAAUCGGUGUAAAUUCAGUGUGGUUUAUUUCUAUCCAAAUAUGCAUUAGAGUUAUAAGAUAAAAUAUUAUAAGAUUGUAUGCAUAUUUGAUUGGAAAGGUGCUGUUGUAUUCAAUAGAGCCUAUUUUCUUGCAAGUUCAGGGAAUUUAUUUAUUAAUCUGUGAUAAAUUUUAUAUUCAUCCAAAUGGUAAACCUUGAAUAUCUGAAAUCUUAAUCUCAACUUUAUGUUUUCUAAAAACUCUUUCAUGAAAGAUCACAAAGUUGGAAUUGAUUGAUUGACCUUCCCCUCUCCCCCAAAAAAAACUUCCUUUGUUUUCUUGCACGAGGCGGCAGUGGAUUGCAUAGGAGCAAUGGCACGGGGCUGGAACUCAGGUAAGGAAAGAAAGGCAAUUUCUGGGGUGAGUGAGGAUUUUUUUCCUUACCUGCCCCACUUGUUCCAAGGCAACUUUCCACUCAGACGCAUUGCUCUUGCCAAUGGCCCGAUCUCCCACUUCAGUGUCCUCCCUCCCCGAGCCUCCAGCAUUCUACCUGCUGCUUUGGUGGCUCUCUAGGCAGAACUGCCCCACUUGUUCCAUGGCUGCUUUUGGCAGAGCCACAUUGCAGCAGCAUUGGGCGCAAUACACAAGCAGCAAACAGCUGCAUCAUGCCGAAACCUGCCCAACACCAGUUCCUUAUCUCUGCCCAGCUUGUUCCGCAGCCUCAUGGCAGCCGCAUUGGGUACAAUGCGCGAGGCGGCAAACAGCCAUGUCACGGCAAAACCAAGGGGCCAGCAGGAUGUGGUUGCUGAUGGACACAGUCGGCCCCCAUGCGCUCGCUGUGUGCGGAGGCCGAGGUGUCAGGCAGCAGCUGCCUCAGCCCCUGCCUCGCCUUGCUUUGUCCUGUGGCAAUGGCACCUCUGCCCUGCUCCCUGCCUUGCCUCACCUCACCCGCAAGAUGAGCUCCUGCCCACUGUACCACCCGUCAGAGACCCCCUGGAUCUCCCCCAAACCUGCCUGGUCCCCACAGGCAUCUCUCCCCACGAGCAACAUUGAGGUGGCCAUGCCCACCCCAGCCAUGCCCACCCAGUCUGCCGUGAUCCCUGCAGCCACUCCCACCAAAUGGGCCACACCCACCUAAUGGGUCACACCCACUUGGCACCUAAUGAUACAUAAGUGGGUUUGGGUUACAGUUUGGGCAGUCGGUCUCUAAAAGGUUCGCCAUCACUGUUCUAGAAUGUAUCCAGUAGUGCUUUCUCUAUUAGUAGCGUCUUCUCCAGUGAAAACUAGGAUAGUAGGUAAUGCAAUCUUCUGAAGCAGAACUAUAUUAUUGCAGGCUUUUAACAGUGUGCCAGAAGUCUGCUACAUAACUCAGACUGCAUAUUCUAUAUCUAGAGGCAUGGUUCUUAAAAAAAAAAAGGAUUGCCAAGGAAGUGUUUGCACUUGAUAGGGCAAUUAUCCCAAAACUAAGCUUCCUGAAUUCUUUAUCAGAUACCAACCCACAUAAUUCACAGUCCUGCCAACUGUAGACAAUGGAGUUGUAGUCAAGGCAAUCUGAAGGGCAUCAGGUUUGAGAAGACAGCCUAAUCCAAGAAGCUAUAGGUAAGUUAAUAUGCAGCAGUGAGCCUGGUAGUCUAGGGUACAAAGUCCAAGGUGCAAAACCUACUGAGCCAUGAACUUCAUCAGAUAAGCCUAAACCAAUAACUUUGUUCAGGUUAACCUACACCAUAAGGGUGUUGUAGGUAUAUCAUGGUGUGGAGCUACAAAUGGUGUCUAUCUUACAAUAAACUUAAAUGAAAGUAACAUGCCUACUGAGCAGUAAUUUUCACAACAAUCUCUCACCUAGUAAUGGGAUAGUUACUAGAUAUGGAUAAACAUUUUGAUACUAAGACCUGCCUAGACUAAAAUGUAGAAGUGACAGGUUAAUGGCUCUCAUGAAUUAAUUAACUUGACUGGUGGACCUCAAAAAGUCAUUGGGAUAAAGAGAAAUGAGAAACUUUCUUGAGUGCAAAUAAAACAGGUGCUUCUGACACCACCUGGUAGCUAUUGUGUCACCUCCUCUGGAGACUCUUGUCAUUGUUAAGAUGAAUAACUGUAAUCGUCAGUUUUCAUUACUGGCUCUUGGAUAUCCCUACAGCACCUUUCUCUUCAAACACAUCCUCGUGGUCAGAUGUGGCCAAAGCAAGCAAAACAAUCAGAUUCCUCUCCCUGUCUGGCACUGCAUUCCUUAGCUGAUUAUCAUUAUCAAAAGCUACACGAAGGAGGGCGGGCAUGUCAAGUGGCUGGAGUCAGGAAGAGGGCGUUCAGCAAGCAGCCAACCUGCUUGGCUGCCCAAGGAGUGUUAGUAAAUUUGCUUCUUAGCAAUAGGCACUGGAUGACAACAGAGCUGGAGGAGGAAGGAAGCUAGAGGAGGAGGCACCAGCAGCAACAACUCUCCUGUGAUUUUUUUAAAAAUUCAAAACUGUGUCUUUGCUGUUCCUUUAAUUGGUGUUGUGAUGAUUCAAAACCAAGCCAGUCAAGUCACAUAGCUUGCUGCCAAAGGGUGGGCUCAAAACACCCACAUGCAGCUGGGUGAGGCAAGUGACUGCUACUCUGUUUCCUUAUCUUGAGAGCAACUUGAGAUAAAGGCCUGAUGCACUGUUUGUUCUGGCUCAAUGUGGAGGCCACCUUCCCAAAGGAAGUUUUACUGCCUUUGCAGGCGCCAGACAACACUGAUUGCAGUUCUCUCUUCAUUGCUCUGGGAUAAAGACAGAUGAACAUAAAGCAAGGACUUUUUCACUCACUGUCUGGUUGCAAGGGUCUGAAUGAAGCAGAACCAAUCCAGGUCAAGCUCAAGGUAAAGUGAGCAGCAUCCCUCCGUAGUUUGAGUACAAGAUCUCGUUGUUAAAUUCCUGCUAUCAAGACUGACGACUUAAAGGUGGAAACUGGAAAAAGACAGUUGGGAACUUUCACCGAAGAACUUAA
Long non-coding RNA from Crotalus tigris (Tiger rattlesnake), 4816 nucleotides. RefSeq lists it as uncharacterized. The record is from RefSeq and is a predicted model, not a curated record. The transcript is spliced from 3 exons. Lineage: Eukaryota; Metazoa; Chordata; Lepidosauria; Squamata; Viperidae.